UACAGAGGGUGCGAGCGUUAAUCGGAAUUACUGGGCGUAAAGCGUGCGUAGACGGUUGCGUAAGUCGGAUGUGAAAUCCCCGGGCUCAACCUGGGAAUUGCAUUCGAGACUGCGUAGCUGGGGUGCGGAAGAGGGAAGCGGAAUUUCCGGUGUAGCGGUGAAAUUCGUAGAUAUCGGAAGGAACAUCAGUGGCGAAAGCGGCUUCCUGGUCCAGCACCGACGUUCAGGCACGAAAGCGUGGGGAGCAAACAGG
This 253-nucleotide ribosomal RNA is filed under the name uncultured bacterium. RNAcentral's name for it is "partial 16S ribosomal RNA". It matches the Rfam family "Bacterial small subunit ribosomal RNA", at positions 524 to 776 of the family's 1533-position model. The record is from RNAcentral.